Molecule: ribosomal RNA, 253 nt
Filed under: uncultured bacterium
Lineage: Bacteria
Description: partial 16S ribosomal RNA
Rfam family: Bacterial small subunit ribosomal RNA
Source: RNAcentral
UACAGAGGGUGCAAGCGUUGUUCGGAAUUAUUGGGCGUAAAGGGCGCGUAGGCGGUGCGGUAAGUCUGUAGUGAAAUCUCUGGGCUCAACUCAGAGUCUGCUGCAGAAACUGCCGUGCUUGAGUGUGGGAGAGGUGAGUGGAAUUCCCGGUGUAGCGGUGAAAUGCGUAGAUAUCGGGAAGAACACCCGUGGCGAAGGCGGCUCUCUGGGACGGUACUGACGCUGAGACGCGAAAGCGUGGGGAGCGAACAGG